Molecule: ribosomal RNA, 455 nt
Filed under: uncultured Thalassospira sp.
Lineage: Bacteria; Pseudomonadati; Pseudomonadota; Alphaproteobacteria; Rhodospirillales; Thalassospiraceae
Description: bacterial SSU rRNA
Rfam family: Bacterial small subunit ribosomal RNA
Source: RNAcentral
ACUGAGACACGGCCCAGACUCCUACGGGAGGCAGCAGUGGGGAAUAUUGGACAAUGGGGGCAACCCUGAUCCAGCCAUGCCGCGUGAGUGAAGAAGGCCUUCGGGUUGUAAAGCUCUUUCAGAUGCGAAGAUGAUGACGGUAACAUCAGAAGAAGCCCCGGCUAAUUUCGUGCCAGCAGCCGCGGUAAUACGAAAGGGGCUAGCGUUGUUCGGAUUUACUGGGCGUAAAGGGCACGCAGGCGGUCUUGCCAGUCAGGGGUGAAAGCCCGAGGCUCAACCUCGGAACUGCCUCUGAUACUGUAAGACUUGAGACUAGGAGAGGGUGGUGGAAUUCCCAGUGUAGAGGUGAAAUUCGUAGAUAUUGGGAGGAACACCGAGAGGCGUAAGGCGGCCACCUGGACUAGGAUCUGACGCUCAGGUGCGAAAGCGUGGGGAGCAAACAGGAUUAGAUACCC